Molecule: long non-coding RNA, 326 nt
Filed under: Apteryx owenii (little spotted kiwi)
Lineage: Eukaryota; Metazoa; Chordata; Aves; Apterygiformes; Apterygidae
Description: lncRNA (ENSAOWG00000017881.1)
Source: RNAcentral
CUGGCAUCUCAGUCUCAGGCAGUGGUUCAACAGAUGGCUGCUGAAAGAGCCAGGAGACUUUCUAUUCAAGGAGGCAAAGAUUUUGGAGAGAUGGAAGGUGCUGAGGGCUGAAGACACCAGCUGGACACCUGAUGCCAUUUCCCUGCCCUUUUCUUCAAAGCUUUUAGGCAGAUGACCAAGGCAGGAGAGAGGCUGCUCAAAUCAAACCUGCACCCUCUUGAGCUGCUCCUAUAACAGACCUGAUGAUGGGAAAGCAGAACUGCAUGGCAAGGCAGGAAGAGGCUUCAGAAAGUGAGGCUGGCGGCUCCGGGCCAGGUGAGUCUGUC